AAUGCAGACCCGGCCGAAGGCGGGUCCAAGUGUAGUAUCUGCUCUUAUCAGCCUAAUAUAUUAGACGCGUUGUAUUUGGACCUAAAUAUUAAACUUAUUUUUGCAUGUUGGCGGAGUGUUCAAAACCUCCUUUAUCUCUACUGCGGGUGGGCCCGGUAUUGCAGAAUCUUCGUGAUCGGCUCAAGUAUG
This is a small nuclear RNA of Dermacentor albipictus, 189 nucleotides long. RefSeq annotates it as U2 spliceosomal RNA. The record is from RefSeq and is a predicted model, not a curated record. NCBI's taxonomy places the organism in Eukaryota, Metazoa, Arthropoda, Arachnida, Ixodida, Ixodidae.